RNAcentral lists this ribosomal RNA (407 nucleotides) under uncultured bacterium. Its description in RNAcentral is "bacterial SSU rRNA". It matches the Rfam family "Bacterial small subunit ribosomal RNA", at positions 29 to 417 of the family's 1533-position model. The record is from RNAcentral.
AACGAACGUUGGCGGCGUGGAUUAGGCAUGCAAGUCGAACGAGAAAGCCACCUUCGGGUGGUUAGUAAAGUGGCGAACGGGUGAGUAACGCGUGGGAAAUCUGCCCUACAGUUGGGGAUAACACUCCUAACGGAGUGCUAAUACCGAAUGAGACCACGAGAUCGCAUGGUCUUGAGGUUGAAGGUGGCCUCUCCUUGGAAGCUACCGCUGCAGGAGGAUCCCGCGUCCCAUUAGCUUGUUGGCAGGGUAACGGCCUACCAAGGCUUCGAUGGGUAGCUGGUCUGAGAGGAUGGUCAGCCACACUGGGACUGAGACACGGCCCAGACUCCUACGGGAGGCAGCAGUGGGGAAUAUUGGACAAUGGGGGCAACCCUGAUCCAGCCAUGCCGCGUGAGUGAAGAAGGCCU